GCCUUCGUGGUGUAGUGGUCAGCACAGUCGACGCGCAACCGAGAGGUGCGGGGUUCGAUUCCCGGCGAAGGCG
Molecule: transfer RNA, 73 nt
Filed under: Stegodyphus mimosarum
Lineage: Eukaryota; Metazoa; Arthropoda; Arachnida; Araneae; Eresidae
Rfam family: tRNA
About the family: Transfer RNA (tRNA) molecules are approximately 80 nucleotides in length.
Source: Rfam by way of RNAcentral